Molecule: long non-coding RNA, 1198 nt
Filed under: Bos indicus x Bos taurus (hybrid cattle)
Lineage: Eukaryota; Metazoa; Chordata; Mammalia; Artiodactyla; Bovidae
Description: lncRNA (ENSBIXG00000013523.1)
Source: RNAcentral
CUUAGCAAGAGGGAGGUUGAUCAGGCAAAGCACAGAGCAUGUUUCACGGUCUAUUCUGAGGGUGGGGACAGACAAAAGAUAAAGAGAGAAACUUUAAAUUCACUGUGGACGGUGACUGCAGCCAUGAAAUUAAAAGACUCUUGCUCCUUGGAAGAAAAACUACAACAAACCUAGAUAGCAUAUUAAAAAAUAGAGACAUUAUUUUGUCAACAAAGGUCCAUAUAGCCAAAGCUACGGUUUUUCCAGAAGUCAGGCAUGGAUGCGAAAGCUGGAACAUAAAGCAGGCAAGAACUGAUGCUUUCAAAUUGUGGUGUCAGAGAAAACUCUUGAGACUUCCUUGGACUGCAAGGAGAUCAAACCAAUUCUAAAGGAAAUCAAGCCAGAAUUGAAAGGACUGAUGCUGAAGCUGAAGUUCCAAUACUCUGGUCACCUGAUGUGAAGAACUGACCCCUUGGAAAAGACCCUGACGCUGGGAGAGAUGGAAGGCAGGAGGAGAAGGGGACGACAGAGGAUGAGACGGUUGGAUGGCAUCACCGACUCGAUGGACAUGAGUUGAGCAAGCUCCGGGAGUUGGUGAUGGCAGGGAGGCCUGGCGUGCUGCAGUCCGUGGGGUCACAAAAGGGUUGGACACGACUGCGCGACUGAACGACAACAAAAACUAAGACAAAGUGAAGACAGGACCGCGCCUGAGCACGGCUGUUUCCACAGGGUUCAGUCCUGAAGCCACUCUCCGCGCGCCGGCGUGUGAUGAGGCGGUCUUCAGAUUCAUCGUCUGCAAUGGCGGCGCUGCGCACAGGCCUCCUCUAAUCUGGAGCCUAUUGUGUUUCAUCAGCUUCUCUCUAAGGACCGCGCAGCUGGAUCCUGCGGAUCUUGGCACGUGCUGUGAACACCAUUUACUCCUAAGAGCGUCUGAUUUCCUCUCCACCCGGCAGUCCCGAAGCGGCCAGAAGUGCGGUCGCGUGGGGAACUUGAGAAGUGCCGACUCACCUGCCCUCCAUUCCCCCAUUUUACAGAUGGAGAAACUGAGGCACGGAGCCUCCCCACGACUUGCAGAGGUCCUGCAGGGCAGUUGACCAACCCCUGGGGUGUGGGGGGCGGGGUGAGCCUUCUCCUCCGCCCCUUUGGGGAAGCCUGCGGGGUCCCUUCCCAGCACACGAUUUGUAAAUGUGUAAAAUAAAAGGCUUCGUGCCGCAGAGCA